CACUAAUGGGCCUGAAUCGUUGCUCAGACCUGUAUUUUCGACCAGGUGAGCAAACUUUCAGGUGUGUUAGUGC
Bombyx mori (domestic silkworm) is the source of this 73-nucleotide non-coding RNA. The record is from Rfam. NCBI's taxonomy places the organism in Eukaryota, Metazoa, Arthropoda, Insecta, Lepidoptera, Bombycidae.